ACUUAAUUAGUUUAAAUUAAAAUUAUAAAUUGUGGAUUUAUAGAUGAAAAUUCAUUAAGUA
This 61-nucleotide transfer RNA is filed under the name Ixodes columnae. RNAcentral describes it as "tRNA-His". The record is from RNAcentral. Lineage: Eukaryota; Metazoa; Arthropoda; Arachnida; Ixodida; Ixodidae. RNAcentral also lists the same sequence under 1 other name.